UACGAAGGGGGCUAGCGUUGCUCGGAAUCACUGGGCGUAAAGGGUGCGUAGGCGGGUCUUUAGUCAGGGGUGAAAUCCUGGAGCUCAACUCCAGAACUGCCUUUGAUACUGAGGAUCUUGAGUUCGGGAGAGGUGAGUGGAACUGCGAGUGUAGAGGUGAAAUUCGUAGAUAUUCGGCAAGAACACCAGUGGCGAAGGCGGCUCACUGGCCCGGGUACUGACGCUGACGGUGCGAAAGCG
Molecule: ribosomal RNA, 240 nt
Filed under: uncultured bacterium
Lineage: Bacteria
Description: partial 16S ribosomal RNA
Rfam family: Bacterial small subunit ribosomal RNA
Source: RNAcentral